RNAcentral lists this ribosomal RNA (2660 nucleotides) under Triticum aestivum (bread wheat). RNAcentral's name for it is "partial small subunit ribosomal RNA". Lineage: Eukaryota; Viridiplantae; Streptophyta; Magnoliopsida; Poales; Poaceae. The record is from RNAcentral.
CUUUGUUUUGUAGAACAUACCUCUUCUUAGGUCGCCACAAGUUAAAUGGCUGCUCCGCUGCUCAUCGGUCUCCAUACCCCUUCUCCUCCAAGCUAGUACCGUUCUUACCGUUACCACAGUCGGAUACAAGGACGAUUCAGAAACGUAGCGAACAAGAGUGGCUAAGCCCGAAAGUAAAUAAAUCGGAACACGUAUAGUACACAAACUACGUUACGUAUUCUUAUUGGUAGGUUAACCACCUGAAGUAAAACACACACACUUCUCAUGUCUCACCUUAGUGAUAUCGUCUAUCGGAGUUAGAAGUAUUGGCUCACAGCGUUGACUCGGCGUACACUUCAAAUAGUAUUUAAAUACAAGAUCUAUGUUUGCACAAUCGUGUUUUCAAUAACCUCCAGCGCAGCGAGGAGGUCCCCGCUGUGCCCGCCUUCGGGGUUUAGGGCGGCCGGAGGGGAGGAGGGACGGGAGAGGGGAGCGGUGGCAGCUUCCUGUACCGGCCCGCUUCGGGCAGCGGACCUGCCGCCACCGCCCCGAAGGGGUAGAGCGCCGCUGCGCCCACACCGGCUAGACCACGCCGCCGGUGCCACCACCAGGAGCCACGUAGAACGCGCUCUCGAGCCGACCCGCGCCUAGACCCCGGCGAGACGGGCCUAGACGCGCACCACCCGCGCCGCCCCCGAGAAACACCGCCGAGACGAGGACGGGACGAACCGGCCUCCGUCGGACGUUCCGGCCCGGUCGCAGGAAAAGACGGCUCCAAACUCGACGAUCAGAGGGGCCCCGUCACCGGAGAUGCACCACAUUCCCCAGGACGGCCACUACACAGAGCGUCACGAUGAGGGAGGGUCUAGGCCAUAACGUACGCGGAACCCGUCCAACCUAAGUGAAGCUAGGCCGAACACCACCAUACUAAUCAGGUACCCGCCGGUACCAGUGAACACCACCACGUCUAGUCGAGAGUGGAGUGAGUUGGCCGGAAGCCCUCACACAGUCUAGUUGAACCCGCUUUCGGAACGAUGUCGACCUCGGCCGCCGCCGCUGCGGACACCCGCGGCGAUUGGAGGAACCUCCGCAGCAACAAAAACAACAAACUUGGGAGGAGCAGCUCUGGGGCCCCCUUUGGGGUCAGGUCCAGGAGGACAUGCCUACUACCGCCGCGUUGGUCGCAGCGUUGGGAAGAACUUCCGCAGUAGAAACCCCAGUUGUACCAACAACACACCCACAACGAACGACGGCCUUACAACCACCACCACCACGCCGGCCAACCCCAGCUGCCACCAAAGACAACGACAACAGGACGAAGGAAACACAAGCAGAAGCAACCACAAGGGACCACAGCCGGUACAACGACACGUACAAGUUCAUGGAGGGAACCACCGGUAACACAACGCCACUCGAAUCACGAGAACCACAACAAGACCAAGUAGAAACGAGAAGCUGCCGCGUUCUACGGAGGGGUUGAACGAUUAGCAAAGCUUAAGAGUACCGCCUCGAGGGUCAGUUCCAAGCACAAUAGUGAGCAACCAACACCAACGAGGACUCAUCACAGCGCUCCAAGCCAUACGUGCGGCCAAGCCACGCAAUCCAACGAACGAAUCAGAACCAUAACACUAGGAAGCUGCUGUGGGGUGAAGAUGAACACGGAGGAUACCACAAGCAGGAAGCUAGACUAUCGAUCCAGUCCGGAACAGGACCCGCAGGAAAAAAGAGUAGAGAACAUUAGAAGAAUGAACAUACCAAAAGACUGGGCCAAAAGGAGUAUUUGCCCCAGUUGAACAAAUCCAAAAGCUAGGUCAAAAGGAAUAUUUGACUUAGUCGGUUUCGAAUUCCCCACUGAGAACCGAAACCGUCGAAAAACUCGUUAUAUAAGUCCACCCCUAAAGAGGGGGGCCACUGGCAAGUUUUUUUUCAAUAACCUCGAUUGGUUAAGGAAGGGUUUCUGCCUAUUUGGACUUGUAAACCGAAGACAUAGACCACUGCUUAACUUGUCAACACGAGUGUAUCCUUAGGUGUGGCCUCGUGAAUGGUGAGGUAUGUUAAUCUAUCCAGUUAGAGUGUUACUUUUUGUAUGUUCCUGAGAAGUUUGGUGUCUAGGGCUUCGAAUAUGUCUUGAUUGAUGUCUUCCAUCUUCCCAUGAAGUUUUAGAAGUGAGUCUUUUUCUUUGCUUCGGUGAGAGUCACUUGAUCUACGUCUAGGAUGUUUUUUUUCAUUAGGCACAUGGACCAGUUUUCGUAUACAAAACUCUGUACAUGACGGUUGUCUCUAGUGUUCACGUGAACCUGACAGAUGACCCUGAGAAGUACUUAGGUGGGAGCUAUAUUCUCCAACCUAACUCUAUCUUCAUGUGGGUUCACUCCCGUUACGAAAACGUUUAUUCAUCUCUAAGAUACCCCUGUGACGUGGGUGGUGUAUGGUGAAAACUCAUAGCACUGAAAAACAACUAAACACCGAGGAUAAAAAAAGGAUGCCCAAUGAAACCAUUUUCUAAACGGUAUAGCCCCCCCAUCGGUUCUCUAUAAUUGAAAAUACAAACAGUUAAGAUUAAACUCGUUAUAAAACACUCUCGAUUCUACUAAUCUUCAAAAUAUAGCAAACUAGGACGUAACGUAAGUCGAUAUAAACGAUGUCUGUUGUGGGGCGUUUUUUAUUAUAAACUAUGUCUG